UGGCCACGUCAUGUUGAAACACUAGUUCUUGUAUGAUGACUGAAGUUAAGCAACUUUGUGCCUGGUUGGUACCUCAAUGGGUGACCACUUGGGAAUAUCAGGU
Molecule: non-coding RNA, 103 nt
Organism: Acanthosepion pharaonis
Lineage: Eukaryota; Metazoa; Mollusca; Cephalopoda; Sepiida; Sepiidae
Source: the annotation of a GenBank genome assembly